CUGUGUGGAUCCUGGAACAGAGAAUGGAAUCGUUGCAGCAUUUCAUUGAAUCCUGUUUAGAAGGAAAUGGCAAUUCAGUUACUUAGGGAAAAUCUGGAGCAAAUCAAGGUGUUUCACAAUACUUCUAUGCAGUUCAACAAAAUACAGCGCCUCAUUUACAGAGACUCGUAAUUAAACAAUUUCCAAGAUCUUGAUGAAGAUUUUACAUGUGUGGCAACAUCUAUUUUGCAUCAGCAUGAUCUGCCUUUGCCUGACACCUUGAGAGACUGGACCUCUUCUCAUCAUCUCUACAUAUAUAUGAGGGAGUGCAUGAUGCAUUUGAUGAUUCUUUAACAUCAUAAGAUGUUGUAGAAUAUACAUUUGUUUCCAUGACUUUGUACACCUGCUUUUAUUGCCAGCUGAUUUGUGUUUCAUAGUUUUAUGUAUUUAACUAAUCAGAUACAUUUUCAUGUAUUCACAUUUUCUGGGGGUGUUUUUUUUUUUAUCCUUGAAAUAUUUUAAAUGUGGAGCUUUACAGAAUUUCAUUUGGUAUGAAUGCUAAAGGCUAUUCAUGAACAGAAUUUGUUCUUUGAACUCUCCCAUCCCACUCCACCAUCCCCUACAAAAACAUCCAUGAAUUUUGUCCAAGCCAUACCUUUGUACUGUUAAACUUGCUAACCACAGGAGAAGUUUACAGAAAUUUUUUUUUAUUUACUAUGCAUUUAUAUAUUCAAAAUGUUUAGCACCUUCUGAUAUGUAUUAUUAAUGUCAGAUAUGCAUGAUUGUGUAAUAAAUUAUAUACAUGUAUUUAUUGAAUUGUCUUUGAUACUUAAAGUGUUUGUGCUUUAAUAGACUAUGGUUGCCAAAGCAAGGUUCUGAUCUAAAAUAGUCAUGUUGGUUGCUAUAAUGUAAAUUACAGUAUGCAUCCACAUACUUGUACAUAUAUGUUUUAGAUGUGCCAUUGUUUAAAUAUUUUAGGGUUAAUGUGAUUAAGACAAUAUAACUCUUUGAACCAUGAUUGGUGUUGAUUUCUCCUAAAACCCUCAUUAUAACAAUUAUUUAAAAGUAUUUUGGAAUUGAUUCUCAGUUCAAUGAAAUAUCUGUCUUGUGUAUAUACUACCGGUACGUCUCAAUGGAAAAAAAAGUUUAACCUUCUUAUAUGGAUGGUUUUCUGGUAGUCAUUCUUUGUUAAGAAACACUGGACCACUUGAAUAUGGCAGAUGCUUUAACAUGUUUUGGUUUUUAUUAUAUUUCAUGAAUUGAUAUAAGGUCCAUUUCACUUUUGGGGGUGGCAUGGAACCUGAAAUGAACAAACUUAAAAGUUCUUUACUCAAAGAUAAACUUUCUACUAAGUUUCAUUGAAAUGCCAAAUGAAAAAUUGAAAGAGGACUUGCAACAAUGACAUUCUGAUCAGACAAGCUUAUUGAGGUCUUUGGCUCAGUUGUAUGGAGUGCCAAAUCAAUAUAAACUCAAAUAAUUUAAGGCAUCUUUAAUUAUUUUGAAGAUACUAUCAAUUCAUUUGAAGCAUGCAACAAGUCAAUGAUCUCUUCAAAUAAUUUUAACAUAUUUUCAUUUCAGAAUUUUUGCAUACAUUAAUUGAAUUGGUGAUAGCAGUAAUUAUUCUGCUGAAUUGAUGUGCGCUAUGAUUGAAUUGUUGCUCUCUUGAAAUGAAUUGAUGAUAUCAACAACUGAAUUGGUGCAAGCUACAAUUCAAUUGUAGAGAGCAAUAAUUCAUUUAAUGUGCACUGUAAUUGAUGUAUUGCUCUCUACAAUUGGAUUAAAUAUAACAUUAAUUGACUGCAGAUGUAUGCAAUAAUUCUUUUAGAGAGAGCAACUAUAUAAUUAGAUAUAUCAUCAAUUCAACAUUUCUAUAAUUGAAUUAAUGAUCUUAUUGAAUUGUAGCUCUCUUCUGUGCAUUAAUUCUUAUACAAAAACAGAUUAAAAUAAUUAGAUAUCUUCGAUCAAAUCAUUUAUACUGAGCUCCAAAUUUGAAUGUGAGCAGUAUCUCCACCACAUUGAUAUACACAUCAAUUAGAUUAAUGAAAAGCAAUAACUGAAUCGUGCACAAAUUUAUUGCAUGACAAUCAUGGCAAAUAUAAGCCAGGUUUUUAAAGCUUUCUCCUUGUAAUCCUAAGGAUAUGUACAACAAUAUUUUGAUAUUGAAAAUUUUUUAAUUUACUUCAUUUUAAUGUCAAAAAUGCAGUUUUAGUAGAAAUCUGGGGACUCGAACGCACAAUCUACAGGUCAGCAGUCAGUUUGCUAACCUACUGAGCUACUUGGCUAGGUAUUUAAAUCCAAAAGGAAUGGAUAAAUGUUGCUGAUACUGAUUUUUUUCAUCCAUGUUUUAAAAGGAAAUCAGUCAUUAUGACGAUGUAAGGUACCUCCUUAAUUAUACAUUGUAUGCACCCUUAGAUGGUUGUGUGAAUAGCUGGGAAACAAUUAACUGCAUGACGUGUGUGUACUUAAUACCACCUUUGUGAAUUAUCUAAGCAGAAGGAUGGUCAUGUAUACAAAAUGAUGUGGGAUUUAGCGGUGGAGGUGCUAUACUUAAUUAGUACUGACACGCCCACUCCCCGGAUAGGGUUGUUCCUGUACCAGAAAUGGACACCUCAUGUGAUGACACCCUAUUCAGUAUAUUAAGAAAUCAACACAAAACACAGAUUAAAGAGAUCCAUGAAAGGUGAAGAUAACGAACAGUGAUCAAUCUCGUAACUCCUGUAAGCAAUACAAAAUAGAAAGGUGGGCAAACACGGACCCCUGAAUAUACCAGAGGUGGGACCAGGUGCCUAGAAGGAGUAAGCAUCUCCUGUUGACCGAUCACACGCGCCGUGAGCCCUAUAUCAUUUUGCGUAAUUAAGCCCUAGGGUGGCCUGUGUUACGAAAAAAAAAACUGCUUGUGCAGCUGGCCAAUGUGUUUGAUAAAAUUCCCUUUCUAUCUAUCAUGUCACAAAGAUAUAAAAUGUUAUACUCCAGUUCCAACAAAGAUUUAUUCAUUGAAUUAUUCACAUUUAUCAUCCUCCAAAAGAAACACAUACCAGGAUACCUUUUCGACAAUCAUUUCCAUAAUAAAGUCAAAGUGAAACUACGUCACGUGAUUUCCCUCUCGACCAACCGCUUGCACAGUCACGCAUGAAAUAAUAUCUGCCUUCACGCUUCAUAUAAUAUCUGCCAAUCUGAAGUCGGAGAUUAUUAUUGUGAAUCCGAGUCAGACAAACGUUUUCUGUUUCAAGCGUCCAAAUAAUAAUCUUGUCUUUUUGGCUGGUCCAGAAUUAUUAUUGUCAGUACAGAUUAUAUUCUCAGUAGCGUUCAAAUAUAAAAGAUAAUUAUUGUUGGCGAUGUUCAGUAAUUAUUAUGGUGGUGGAAAGAUUAUAUUUAUAAAGAUAAUGUGUGACUUUAAAUCGGGUCUGUUUUUAUAAUUAUUGCGGCAGUAUUUAUAAUUAUAAUAAUGUCAAUGAAGAAUAUUUUUCUUUUGGGGAUGAAAUUAUAAUUUGGUGUCUGAGAUUCGGGACAGAUUAUUAUUAUCGCUGCGAUAUAAUAAUAAUAUCGGCAAAUAGGGGGAAAAUUUUUAUUUUUCGAAGAGAUAAUAAUUUUGGUAUUUUAUAUAGGGAAAAAUAAUAAUAAUGUGGGGGUACCCUACGGCUUUCCAUAAUUAAUAUAUAAAAAACGAAAUCAAUAUCUAAAAAACGAAAACUAAUUAAAAAAAAAAAAAGAAGUUAUUAAAUAAAUAUAAAAAAUGAAAUUAAUAUCUAAAAAACGAAAACUAAAUAAAAAAAGAAGUUAUUAAAUAAAAUAUGAAAACUAAAUAAAAAA
Long non-coding RNA from Ostrea edulis (European flat oyster), 3789 nucleotides. RefSeq lists it as uncharacterized. The transcript is spliced from 2 exons. The record is from RefSeq and is a predicted model, not a curated record. NCBI's taxonomy places the organism in Eukaryota, Metazoa, Mollusca, Bivalvia, Ostreida, Ostreidae.